Molecule: ribosomal RNA, 253 nt
Filed under: uncultured bacterium
Lineage: Bacteria
Description: partial 16S ribosomal RNA
Rfam family: Bacterial small subunit ribosomal RNA
Source: RNAcentral
UACGUAGGGUGCGAGCGUUAAUCGGAAUUACUGGGCGUAAAGCGUGCGCAGGCGGCUUUGCAAGACAGAUGUGAAAUCCCCGGGCUCAACCUGGGAACUGCAUUUGUGACUGCAAGGCUAGAGUACGGCAGAGGGGGAUGGAAUUCCGCGUGUAGCAGUGAAAUGCGUAGAUAUGCGGAGGUACACCAAUGGCGAAGGCAAUCCCCUGGGCCUGUACUGACGCUCAUGCACGAAAGCGUGGGGAGCAAACAGG